RNAcentral lists this ribosomal RNA (488 nucleotides) under Nemobiinae gen. n. sp. NC. Its description in RNAcentral is "partial 16S ribosomal RNA". It matches the Rfam family "Bacterial large subunit ribosomal RNA", at positions 1831 to 2582 of the family's 2925-position model. The record is from RNAcentral. Lineage: Eukaryota; Metazoa; Arthropoda; Insecta; Orthoptera; Trigonidiidae.
CUUCUAGRAUAARUUGGAAGUCGGGCCUGCCCACUGAAGGARAAWUGAAGGGCCGCGGUWUAUUGUCCGUGCAAAGGUAGCAUAAUCAUUAGUUUUUUAAUUGAAAWCUGGAAUGAAUGGUUUGACGAAAUAAUGACUGUCUAAGUYUGGAAAAUUGAAAUUUAUUUUUAAGUUAAAAAGCUUAAAUGGAAGUUGGGGACGAGAAGACCCUAUAGAUCUUGACAUAAUUAUUAAUUUUAAUGUUUAGRGAAAAAAAGUUAAUAUUAAGAARUUAUGUUUUGUUGGGGUGAUGUGAGAAUAGGAAAACUUCUUUUUAGAAAAACGAAAAUGGUUGGAUUGUAGAUCCUGUAUUAUGGAAAAAAGAUUAAGAUACCUUAGGGAUAACAGCGUAAUUUUAUUGGAGAGUUCAUAUUGAUAAUAAAGAUUGCGACCUCGAUGUUGGAUUAAGAUAAUARUUGGGUGYAGAAGUCUAAUUUAUAAGUCUGUUC